CCCUUAGAUGUUCUGGGCUGCACGCGUGCUACACUGAUAUUGCCAAUAUGUCAUUCUUAUCCGAAAUGGAUUGGGUAAUCAAGUAAUGAAAUUUCAUGCUUGGAAUCGGUAAUUGCAAUUUUAUCGUGAACGAGGAAUUCCUAGUAAGCACUAGUCAUCAGCUAAUGUUGAUUAUGUCCCUGCCCUUUGUACACACCGCCCGUCGCUCCUACCGAUUGAAUGUUCCGAUGAAUACCAUGGACUGAGAGUAUGAAUGGGUUCGCCUAUUUCUGCUUCUCGGGAAGUGGAGUAAAUCUUAACAUUUAGAGGAAGGAGAAGUCGUAACA
This 326-nucleotide ribosomal RNA is filed under the name uncultured eukaryote. Its description in RNAcentral is "partial 18S ribosomal RNA". It matches the Rfam family "Eukaryotic small subunit ribosomal RNA", at positions 1470 to 1796 of the family's 1831-position model. The record is from RNAcentral.